AACGAACGCUGGCGGCAUGCCUAACACAUGCAAGUCGAACGAAGGCUUCGGCCUUAGUGGCGCACGGGUGCGUAACGCGUGGGAAUCUGCCCCUCGGUUCGGAAUAACAGUUAGAAAUGACUGCUAAUACCGGAUGAUGACUUCGGUCCAAAGAUUUAUCGCCGAGGGAUGAGCCCGCGUAAGAUUAGGUAGUUGGUGGGGUAAGGGCCUACCAAGCCGACGAUCUUUGGCUGGUCUGAGAGGAUGAUCAACCACACUGGGACUGAGACACGGCCCUGACUCCUACGGGAGGCAGCAGUGGGGAAUAUUGGACAAUGGGCGAAAGCCUGAUCCAGCAAUGCCGCGUGAGUGAUGAAGGCCUUAGGGUUGUAAAGCUCUUUUACCAGGGAUGAUAAUGACAGUACCUGGAGAAUAAGCUCCGGCUAACUCCGUGCCAGCCGCCGCAGUAA
Molecule: ribosomal RNA, 449 nt
Filed under: uncultured bacterium
Lineage: Bacteria
Description: partial 16S ribosomal RNA
Rfam family: Bacterial small subunit ribosomal RNA
Source: RNAcentral